UCCNCCCAGAGCUACCGGCUACAGGUCCC
Molecule: non-coding RNA, 29 nt
Filed under: Homo sapiens (human)
Lineage: Eukaryota; Metazoa; Chordata; Mammalia; Primates; Hominidae
Source: RNAcentral